UGAAGUCAUUGAUGCCAUGCUUCCAGGAAAAGCCUCUAAGCUUCAGAUUGUAAGGAAUCGUACCCCAAACCGACACAGGUGGUCGGGUAGAGAAUACCAAGGCGCUUGAGAGAACUCGGGUGAAGGAACUAGGCAAAAUGGUACCGUAACUUCGGGAGAAGGUACGCUCUUGACGGUGAAGUCCCUCGCGGAUGGAGCUAUUGAGAGUCGCAGAUACCAGGUGGCUGCAACUGUUUAUUAAAAACACAGCACUGUGCAAAAUCGUAAGAUGACGUAUACGGUGUGACGCCUGCCCGGUGCCGGAAGGUUAAUUGAUGGGGUUAGUUUUCGGACGAAGCUCUUGAUCGAAGCCCCGGUAAACGGCGGCCGUAACUAUAACGGUCCUAAGGUAGCGAAAUUCCUUGUCGGGUAAGUUCCGACCUGCACGAAUGGUGUAACCAUGGCCACGCUGUCUCCAACAUCGACUCAGUGAAAUUGAAUUGCCUGUCAAGAUGCAGGCUACCCGCGGCUAGACGGAAAGACCCCGUGAACCUUUACUACAGCUUGGCACUGAACAUUGAGCCUACAUGUGUAGGAUAGGUGGGAGGCUUUGAAGCAGAGACGCUAGUUUCUGUGGAGCCGUCCUUGAAAUACCACCCUUGUAGUGUUGAUGUUCUAACAUAGGCCCCUGAAUCGGGGUUGUGGACAGUGCCUGGUGGGUAGUUUGACUGGGGCGGUCUCCUCCCAAAGAGUAACGGAGGAGCACGAAGGUUGGCUAAGUACGGUCGGACAUCGUACGGUUAGUGUAAUGGUAGAAGCCAGCUUAACUGCGAGACAGACACGUCGAGCAGGUACGAAAGUAGGUCAUAGUGAUCCGGUGGUUCUGAAUGGAAGGGCCAUCGCUCAACGGAUAAAAGGUACUCCGGGGAUAACAGGCUGAUACCGCCCAAGAGUUCAUAUCGACGGCGGUGUUUGGCACCUCGAUGUCGGCUCAUCUCAUCCUGGGGCUGAAGUCGGUCCCAAGGGUAUGGCUGUUCGCCAUUUAAAGUGGUACGUGAGCUGGGUUUAGAACGUCGUGAGACAGUUCGGUCCCUAUCUGCCGUGGGCGUUUGAGAAUUGAGAGGGGCUGCUCCUAGUACGAGAGGACCGGAGUGGACGAACCUCUGGUGUUCGGGUUGUGUCGCCAGACGCAUUGCCCGGUAGCUAAGUUCGGAAUCGAUAACCGCUGAAAGCAUCUAAGCGGGAAGCGAGCCUCGAGAUGAGUUCUCACUUUAACUUGAGUUAACUGAAGGGCCGUUGAA
RNAcentral lists this ribosomal RNA (1280 nucleotides) under Oratosquilla oratoria. RNAcentral's name for it is "bacterial LSU rRNA". It matches the Rfam family "Bacterial large subunit ribosomal RNA", at positions 1586 to 2842 of the family's 2925-position model. Lineage: Eukaryota; Metazoa; Arthropoda; Malacostraca; Stomatopoda; Squillidae. The record is from RNAcentral.